ACCUCUGUGGUGCAGUGGUAGCACGCGUCCCUCGCAUGGAUGAAACGCGGGUUCGACUCCCGUCUGAGACCGUA
Parelaphostrongylus tenuis is the source of this 74-nucleotide non-coding RNA. NCBI's taxonomy places the organism in Eukaryota, Metazoa, Nematoda, Chromadorea, Rhabditida, Metastrongylidae. The record is from the annotation of a GenBank genome assembly.